CACUUGCAACGACUGGCUUCUGUCUUUGGUACAUAAGCACUAGAACAGAAGAAACACAGCGACCAUUAGGCUAAACAGGAGGGAUCUACAACAUUUAUGCUGAAAAAAGAGACUCAGCAUUUUAAGAUAUUACAGGGGUGGAGCCAUGGAGAGUAAAGGUUUCAUAAACUAAUGGAAGUGACUGGAAGAGGAAUGGAGCCCAUAAAUAAAGCAAUACUUCUGAACUAGAUAGAUGUUUCCAUACUGAGCCCUUAAAUAAGUAAUUUUGAAAUCAAAUUUUCAUGGAUUAUGAGUAAGUUUUAGAGAAAAGAAAUGUUCUUAGUGCCUUGUCAGGGAGUAAGAGCUGAAAGUCAAAGAAGAUUCACUGAAGAAUGUCUCUGCUCUUUCAUCCCUAAGUUCCUUCAGGCUUCUAAUAGGAAAAAACCAAAGGGAAACAAACAAAAAAAAAAAGCCAGAAUGUAAUUAAUUCAAAUUUAUAAGCACAGAGAACCAUAUUAAUGUUCUCUGAGACAAUAAGAAACUCUGUUGCAGAUGCUACCUAUAUGUACAGCCCUCAAACCACUGCCAAAAAAAACUUAUUUCACGUCUCUGGUGACUUCUGAAUGCCAUUUGAUGCCGCAACUAUUAAAGAGUUGCUUCCACACUAUCAUGGUGCCUGAAUCCUUUGUAGUACUCUUCUCCCUUCCUACCAGGAAAUCUGCCCUCAAGCUCCACCAGGUGUUAUUAGCAGCUCUCCUCCUCAAAGUUUUAAUGUAAAGAGUGAGCUUUUCAUGCUUCUGUCUGGCUUGUACUGAACCAGAAAAAAGCCAAUAGAAUUACUAGGUCGUAAACUGAAUCACAUGGCUGAAUGCUUGUCUGGCUGAGAGCCAAACCAUGCCUUGGUUUGUUAAAUGUUUAAGCUUUUAAGACAUUAAGUUCUUUCUUUAAAGUUUUGUAUUUAUCUAAAGCAGUUUUCUCAGCAAUAGAACUGGGUAUUCUUUAAAUAUGAUUUCUGUUUGGUUACUUUCCUUUCACCUCUCUCCCACCAAGAACUACAGCUUUUCUUGGUUUUGUUGUGCAGUGGUGACAUUCUUGUGGAGUACUAUCCUACAUGGCUUAUGCUGCUUGUAUCAGAGAAGUGUUAACCUUCAAAAGAGUACUCUCAGUAAUCAGCAUGGCAGGAGAUUCUCUUAGUUUAAUCACAUUUUGCAUUUAUAUGUUCUUUGUUUGCUAAAGUAACUGUUGAUUUGCAUUGGCAGUACUUCUUUCUCCUGUAUGCUCCUGAUAAUUGGCAUUUAUGCUAGAGAGUGAAGUUUGCAAUGCCUGUUUGAAAAUUUUGCUGAAAGGUCACAGAGUCAUUGCUAUUCCACUCAAUACCUUAAACAUCAGAACAUGAAAUGCAAGAGGUUAAAUAUUUUCUUUUGACCUUUAUUCUUUUUGCAAAGUGUGCUUGAGGCCCAGAGCUCAGACUAUUGCCUUGUGAAGAUGUGCCCUGUCCUUGGCUAUAGACCUUAUAUUUGCCAGGUGGCAAAAUCCAGCCAGAAAAGAAA
Molecule: long non-coding RNA, 1529 nt
Organism: Haemorhous mexicanus (house finch)
Lineage: Eukaryota; Metazoa; Chordata; Aves; Passeriformes; Fringillidae
Exons: 2
Source: RefSeq, a predicted model, not a curated record